UUUCUAGCACUCUGAGUUCAAAUCCGCGCGCCAAUGUGGAGCUGUCUAGAAACUACUAUUGAAGACCAAUAUAAAGCAAAUGGGACUCUCGCUGCUGCACCCAAAGAAGCCAAACGCUGGUCACGACAUUCUUCAGAUUGAACGGAUUGUGAGGACUUCGUCUUCUGUUCUACUUCGUGAAGGACCAAGGUCCAAAAGAUACUCAUCAAGCUCAGAAAUUAGAAGUCUCCAGGAGAAACCCUUGGAUUUAGGUGUGAAACUGAAUAAUCACAAGGUCAGGACAUACUGGGUCUUGCGCCCAAAUGUUACAAUCCUCGUGCCAACAAAGCAAUAAAGGAAAACAAAAAGUGGUCGAUGACAAUAAUAAGUCCCACAGAACUGGGCCCAAUGGCAUGCCACCGACUCAGACGGGUCUAUUUAUACGCGAGCCGACAUGUGUGACGCAUUUGAGUUACUCGUCUUCUUCGGAUGAUGAAGUGACAAACCAAUCAGCUGUGAUUUUUCCUACUAAUAAUGGUAUGCUGACAUCAAUUGAGUACUUGGAGCGAGGAGAAAGUUCCAAAGGGUAAAAGCGUGCACGCGAAGCACUAAGAUAUGCUAGCCGUACCCUUGAACAAAUCCAAGCAAGGCGAGAACGUGUGAGAGCACGUCGGCAAAAUUUAACACCAAAUGAGAAGGAAAGGAUUAAUGCACAGAGAAGAAAGAAAAGACAACGCAUAACACUUGAUGAGAGGAAUGCAAGCCAGCGAGCACGUAGGCAAAGUUUGACGCUAGAUGAGAGGCAAGAAAGAAAUGCACGCCAGCGAGCACGUAGGAAAAGCCUACCACCCGAAGAGCGGCAAGCACUCCUAGCUCAGCGUAAAGCAAGCUACGCAGCUAAACGAGAUACCCUCUAUAAGGAUUCUGUCGCAAUGCAGUACCCUAAAGGUUCGUUGGUGGGACAUCUAUCAUCAAGCUCUUAUGUCUUUAGCUGCCCAAGUACGCUGGCGCAAACUUCUGCUACGGUUCAAGGUAAUCUUGAAAGCAUACCUGAAGCGGUGGAAGAGGAUCACAUAGUUUUCACUAACACAGGUAAUCUUGAAAGCAUACCUGAAGCGGUGGAAGAGGAUCACAGAGUUUUCACUAACACAGGUUCCCCAACAGAAAGCUUUGUUGCGGACGAUAAUGAGUUUGAAGAAGAAGAUGAUGAGUACUUCCAUUGUCAUGGAUGCCUUACUUCCCUACAUGUAUUGCACAAAAACUGCAAGACCUAUAUAACACUAUUCAUCUCAUGUAUAUGUAGGCGAUGAUGAAGACUGUGAUGACAUGAUGGAUGCAUUUACAGCGGUUCCUGAUCCAUAUGAUCGUGUCUACGAGAAUAUACCUGUGAGAAGAUGGAUGAAGCCAGAGCUCGAGGGCCAACAUUGUUAGCAUAGAUGGUUUUGAGCAAACGACUAAAAGAAGAAAGGAGCUCUUUGAGGACUGUUGUGACAUAGAUCCAGCAAGCUGGUGAUGGUGGUGCAGGAAGUGUAUGGGCGUCGACAUGGCUGGAACCCCAUGGUCAUGAGACUAGCGAUGUAGUCGUCGUCGUCCUUUUUGUGCUCUCCUGUGUUGGUCUAUUUUGGGAUUCUGUGUACAAUAUCUUUUUUUUUCUGUAUGAGAGUUAACUGCAGUUUGUCAGGUUACUGGUUGACGAUGCUCUUGUUCAUGUUACCAAGGAUGAUGUAGGGAGUAGUUGUUUACGCGUGUUGGGUUUGGGUGGCUAAUGCUCAGCCCGUAUGGUGUGUGUAUGUGCGUGUGUGUAUUGGGUUUGGGUGGCUAAUGCCCAGCCCGUAUGGUGUGUGUAAUACUGAAAAAUUCUAUAUUGUUUGCAUUUACUAUUCAUUUGGAUGUAUGUAAGCUCGGGAACAUAAUUGAAUAUUUGGAAAAGCAUAUUGAUAACAUA
Molecule: RNA transcript, 1924 nt
Organism: Triticum aestivum (bread wheat)
Lineage: Eukaryota; Viridiplantae; Streptophyta; Magnoliopsida; Poales; Poaceae
Exons: 10
Source: RefSeq, a predicted model, not a curated record